UAACAUAACAGUAUGCCACCAUAAUUAUUUAAUGCAUGAAAUAAAACGUUAGCUAGGUGUUUGUGUGGUGGACGCAUUUUUUACGGCUGAACGGAAUUGACCGUCAAACGAGGGAAAAUCAAUAUUUCCCCUUAUAUCACCGCCACUGAUUUAAUAAAUAAAAUCAAUUUUUAUUAAAUUAUUUGCCACUCCUAAAAACGUGAUUUUUAGAGAAUUAAUUCCUAGAUAUAAUUAGGAACACUUUGCAACGUCAUUCGAGUUAAACAAACAUAUAGAAAUAUUUAAUUAAUUAAUUAAAUAAAGCCCAGGGUCAGAGUAAUAGGGGGAGGAUGGAGAAGCUUUCUGGGUGUAUUUGUGUGCUGUGAGAAGAAAAUUUCUCAGAGAGGUACGGAUUAUUGUACUGCCGUGCAAAGCACAGAGGUGGUAACUUGUAGUUUGGCCAUUUUGAGAUAUUUACAGAUGUAAUGAAGUAAAAUUUAAAUAUUUAAAUUUAAAUCUGAUUGAUUUACUGUGGUUGAUCAAUUACCCUGAGUUAACCCCGUAAGCGUAAACUAUUUUAUCAACGUCGCUGGGUGCGCUAAUUUAAGGGACUCGUCCACCAGACUAACUUAGAAACUAUGUAGGGGAGAAAAUUUUCAAUAAUUGCCGAUAUCAGGCGAGCUGAUUAGCUAUAAGGGCAAUACAGCAGUGAAGAAGACUGAACCGGACCAGCAAUCCAAGUGAACACCUGAGACCGUGUACGUGAUAUAAAAAAAGAUAUAAAAACAAUUUGGGGAGUUUUGAAAAGGAGAAGGAAAUCGGUAGCGUCGGACUCGGACCUAAUCAAGCACUUGAUUAAAAGAUCAAAACGAGGGUUUGCGGUAUGCUUGUACUGGCGAAAAAAGUCUUGGGUUACCACGCAUUCUGAACAAAAACGAGUAGAUACAUUUUUCUCGCAAGAGCAUAGCAAGGUACCUAUGAAAGUGCAUGCACGAUAAGAAGAACAGACAAAGAUCGACAGAUAGGAUAGUAUACCUGUCUCUCUCUCUCUCUCUAACAAAAAAGCAGAGCCUAUCCUCAAACCCAACUACGUCAUCUAGCUGCAUGCUCAUCUUGCAUCCACACUUACCUGCGUACAUUUAUUUACUAUACAGUAACAAGAGAGUAUGUAUGUGUGUGUACGGACGUAGUACCCAAAAAUAUAGUUUGCUGCGACUCAGUGGGACACCUGCACGUGUG
Microplitis mediator is the source of this 1218-nucleotide long non-coding RNA. RefSeq lists it as uncharacterized. The record is from RefSeq and is a predicted model, not a curated record. Lineage: Eukaryota; Metazoa; Arthropoda; Insecta; Hymenoptera; Braconidae. The transcript is spliced from 3 exons.